GAAGCGACUCCUCUGCAGGUGGGGAGUCGGGGGCUUGAACCGGGAUCCUUCAGCCGGUCCCUGUGCUUUACGCCACGUGCGCUUAACCCACUGUGUGACUGCCCAACUCCCUGAACACUAUUUCCUAACUUUCUUACCGUGUAGGAAAAGUUUAUUCAUUGAUUGGCUUGCACUUUGGCCAUUUUCCAGAAAAGGAUUUAGGAAACUUGGGGAGGGUGAUCUGCAAUAAGAUACAAAAGUAAUGAUGAGAAAGAUAAGAACCUUCAGUAAGUAGAAGGGGGGAAGAAAGUGUAACUCACCGGCCACCCACAUUUAGCCAUGGGAACCAGCAAACACAGUAGUUAACUCUGAGUUUUCUAGUCAUGGGCACAUUUAAGAUAACCUAGUAAUUUAUACAGCUCUCACUGCCUGUUAACUGAGGAUUCACGAGGAGGCUGUCACCUUUCUUCUCGAAAAAGAGGCUCGGACAUGAAGAUUGCUAGGUAGGGGGACUUCCCACGUGAUAACGUCCUUGUGUUCACGUGCCUCUCUAGCAUCUGUUGAGUUUGGCUGCUCGCCAGCUUUCUUCUUCACUCCCGCGCUCUGAUCCAAGUGCAGACACACUAGGCUCCCCAGCGCCAGCGGAGCAGCCCGCGUAAGGCCAGAAGAGAGAGCAGCUUGAACCUGUUCAACCUGGCUUGCAACUUGGCCCGUUUCCCUCCUGCCCUUAUCUCUUGGCCUGUCUCCGUUUGGCAGACACCAUCUGAGCACCACCACAAAAGUGAACAGAGCCUUUCUCAUUUGUUCAGACUGGCCCGAGACAGCAAGCUCCAGAGUGUCCUUGCUCAGGUUUCGUGUUUGAAGAAUUGAGGAACGGUCACAGCUCCCAUACUAACACACCCUGGUGGACAUGCUCUGGUGAGAGACUUACUGGUUGCCAGUUUCUCCGUGCUUAUGACCAAAAUCUACUGGAGAAGCCUUUUUACAAGGGACACUAGGAAAUACAGUGCUCUCUGUGGUUUGAGUGGCAUCUCUUUCUUAAAUUCUGCAGUUACUGAGUUACCUCAGGCCUGUUCUGUUUUUUGUUUUUUUUUAAUUCUAACCAACAGGACUCAACCUUCUUAUUUUUGCUCCCUUAUUUUAGAAUAACCAUUCCGUCUAGAUUUCCUAGGUGUGAACUUCACUGAUUACAUAAUAGAGUGUAUUUAUAGAGCCAGGACACCUUGUGCAGGCAUCCCAUUACAUUUCUACAAUCUAAGAUCUUUAAAUAUGUAUUGGAAUACAGAUAGCUCUCAGGAGCAAAAACAAACAACGUUUUCUGCUAAGAGGGUGCCGAUGGACAUCUUUGAGAACAUUGAGUGAAAACUAGUAUUUGGGGAAAUGCUGAAUGUGGAGGAGAUCACUAAGCCUGAAGAGGGAGAGAGACAGACAGAACAUCACUGACUGAACCAUACACAGUGUUUGCAGGCUUUCUUCUUCCCAGAUCGAAGCAUAAUGUGCUCUAAUUGAGUCUCUUUGUUUAGCACUUGGCUGUUGAUUUGAGUACUUUCUUCAAUAGAAAACUGACGCUUUAAUUUUGUUAUUCAGCGUGCAACAGAUUUAAAUAAAAACACCAAGAUUGUA
Molecule: long non-coding RNA, 1602 nt
Organism: Erinaceus europaeus (western European hedgehog)
Lineage: Eukaryota; Metazoa; Chordata; Mammalia; Eulipotyphla; Erinaceidae
Exons: 2
Source: RefSeq, a predicted model, not a curated record